GCUGUAUUGUAGCUCUCCUGUGUGCUGGCCUUCCCUUCAGCCGUGCAUGGAACUCUGGGGACCUGACCUCUGCACAGCCAGAUCCAAAACAUGACCUUGGAAGAAGAGUCUGAUUGGUGGGACGAGGGGGUUUUCUCAAAUGACGUCACUUCCUUGUGGGCUGACCGCCCUUAUGGGAAGCGAGUUGCCAGGUGUGUUGAGGUGAGAAACAGCAGCUGUGGGAUGAGACUCCGAACAUCUCCUACCAUCUGCUGUGUGACCUUGAAUUUGCCACUGCCCCUUCCUCCUCCCCACCCUGGACCCCAUUUCCAAGACUGUGCCAUGAAGGUGGUUGUCACCGAUGGUCUCUGGGAACUUUCCCAAUCUUACCCAUUCAAGGAUCGCAGGAAGGAACAGGACGGCAGGAACUGGACCAGGGUCAUCUGUGAGCUCAGCACGCACCUGCUCCUCCUGGAGACUUCGGAUGAUCUUCCUGACCUUGAACAUAACUCUCAGAACCACACAUCCCAAAGCUCCAGCAGAGGUCACCUAGAAUGGAGGUGACCAGGCAGUAUCUAGCCUCCCUGGACCCUUUUGUGAGCUUCAGUUUACUUUAUAACUAUGGCAGCAAGGUCUCACCUAGUCAGCUGGAGACGAAGUCACUUGUCUUCUUUCUGUCCUCAGGCCUCACCCUGCCACAGCUAGGGUCUAGCAUCUUUCCACCCCUCCCCCACUUGGGGAGCUUCUCUGAGUACACAUCUUCUUUCUUUUGGAAUUUUUUUUUUUUUUUUUGACAAGCACAGUGCAGAACACGGCAGAACCGGUCUCUCUGGGGACCCGAGACUUUUCUUGGCAGCCCGGCGCAUCUCGAAUUGGCAUGUCUUUUUCCGUACAAACUCCCGCUCUUAGCUUGCAUCUCCCCCUAGCUCCCCUGACUCACACUGUUUCUCUCAGCAAAGCAUAGAUCUCACAUCUCCCCUCCGUACCCUGCCUCAAGCUGUCUGUGUUUUCUCCUAUCUCAGUUCCAACCUGCCACGGUAUCAGCGUUCCCAGCAGCCUCGUGUCCUGCACAUAAGCUGUUAAGUGGCCAUCUGUGCAUUGAUAGAAAAGACUGAACAAGACGUACGUGGUCAAGUUCAGGGAAAGCCCGGGCGUCUCCAGGGACCCACCAGGUGUGUUCGGACUUAGCAUUAGCUCUUCUUUCGAUACAGUCAUUUAACCAGCCAGGGACCUGUGCACAGCAGAAUCCCCAGAGUGUCUGCUGGGACUUGAGGACAUCCACCCUCAUGGACUGAACCAGAACCCCAGUCUUCCAUUGUGAGGCAGCCAUGUAUUGGACUAGCCUCUAAGCCUAAUAAAUCUCAUGUAUA
This 1349-nucleotide long non-coding RNA is filed under the name Mus spicilegus (steppe mouse). RNAcentral's name for it is "lncRNA (ENSMSIG00000013204.1)". Lineage: Eukaryota; Metazoa; Chordata; Mammalia; Rodentia; Muridae. The record is from RNAcentral.